CCAAUAGCGUAUAUUAAAGUUGUUGUGGUUAAAAAGCUCGUAGUUGAACCUUGGGCCUGGCUGGCCGGUCCGCCUCACCGCGUGUACUGGUCCGGCCGGGCCUUUCCCUCUGUGGAACCCCAUGCCCUUCACUGGGUGUGGCGGGGAAACAGGACUUUUACUUUGAAAAAAUUAGAGUGCUCCAGGCAGGCCUAUGCUCGAAUACAUUAGCAUGGAAUAAUAGAAUAGGACGUGUGGUUCUAUUUUGUUGGUUUCUAGGACCGCCGUAAUGAUUAAUAGGGACAGUCGGGGGCAUCAGUAUUCAAUUGUCAGAGGUGAAAUUCUUGGAUUUAUUGAAGACUAACUACUGCGAAAGCAUUUGCCAAGGAUGUUUUCAUUAAUCAGGAACGAAAGUUAGGGGAUCGAAGACGAUCAGAUACCGUCGUAGUCUUAACCAUAAACUAUGCCGACUAGGGAUCGGACGAUGUUAUUUUUUGACUCGUUCGGCACCUUACG
This 495-nucleotide unclassified non-coding RNA is filed under the name uncultured Glomeromycotina. RNAcentral describes it as "SSU rRNA". It matches the Rfam family "Eukaryotic small subunit ribosomal RNA", at positions 591 to 1092 of the family's 1831-position model. The record is from RNAcentral. Lineage: Eukaryota; Fungi; Glomeromycota.